This 909-nucleotide long non-coding RNA is filed under the name Daucus carota (carrot). RNAcentral's name for it is "long non-coding RNA (DCAR_LNC001383)". The record is from RNAcentral. Lineage: Eukaryota; Viridiplantae; Streptophyta; Magnoliopsida; Apiales; Apiaceae.
GUUUUUAGGACACAAAUAGGCCCAAGUCCAGAACAACAGACUCCUAAAGAAGAUGAUAUGUAUGUACAAAUUAUAGGCCCAGGUAUAUAUAAUACGAUUACCUGAGAAAACAGUGACACUUAAUAAGAAAGAUCGAGGAAGCUGAUGAAUGAAUUUCAUCAGCUGCUUCAUGAAAAUUUGUAUAUGAAUCAUCAUUUCACCCAACCUAAUAUAUAUCGAAACAAUCAAUGAAAAGUUUUUUAUUUAUUUAAAUCCCGGUAUAUACUAAUAUAUAAAAAUUGUAACAUCAAAAUUUGCUGAAGCACUUUACACAAAACUAAGCCGAGAGACAGGUAAAAACAACACUAGUAUGAUCAGCAUUGGAAUCCGACUUCAUGGUUCCUCCAGAAUUAUUAUGUUCAUUCUUCUUCUUCUUAUUUCGAUCGUCAGAUGUAUUCCAUGCAGCCGUCUUGCUGGUUUUUGAUCCUGCUCCGUUGGCUUCAGCUGCUGCCUUCUUUUCCAUUCUUCUCUUCAUCACAUACUCUUCUGAAAUAUAAACAUCCAUCAGGUAAUAUUUAAACACUCCCUACUCUCUUCCUUAUGCCUAGUAGUGCAUGAAUAUGAGUAUCAUGAAUAGGACGAGGUUAUAUAUAUACAAACGAGAAAUGUGUUUGUUAUGUAUGUGCAUGCAAAGUGUUGCAUAUGAAUCAUGACUGAAUAUUCUAUGGGCUUGGGUACCAUGUUUUCUGCUUAAACAAUCAACAAGUUGUCGGGUUAUAUAUCAUUACCAAGGGCGCUUUUGUAAUCGAUUUCCGCUAAAGUUUUCAGAUCUCCUCUUUAGCUUGCUUUUUCAUUUCAUGACUUAGUAGGGCUCUGGCAAAACCUAUUUUUAGAUUAUAAAUAUUUAUUUUUAAGAAGAUAUAUACCCCU